This is a non-coding RNA of Pantherophis guttatus, 2268 nucleotides long. NCBI's taxonomy places the organism in Eukaryota, Metazoa, Chordata, Lepidosauria, Squamata, Colubridae. The record is from RefSeq and is a predicted model, not a curated record.
GGUACAUUCAAUUGAGUCACUUGACCAGCAAGCUGGGUGACUUGCUGGUGUAGCAGUUGGUUCUCAGCUAGCAUCUGCUGCAGUUGUUGUUGGGGGUCCAUGACGGUUAAAGGUGGCUUGUUAUGGGGUGGUGAACAAGUUUGUUCUGUCUCCUUCCAGGAGUGGCCUUGCAGAGGCUCAAAUAGCCCGGCAGUAACAAACGCAGGCUAGAGAGACUGAAGCUGGCCUUUUAAUAAAUAGUUCUCUUCCAAAGCAUAUAUCAGUCCAAUAGUUACCGGGCAAUGUUCCAAAGGUCUUGGCAGAUGGCCAGCAGGCUAAUGCAGGAAUGCAGACUCUUGUCAAAAACUCCAAACUAACAGUUGUAACUCCACUGUAUCCAAAACACCAACAAAUUGUUCAUCACGCCUUUCCAGCCCAGUCACACCCCUUUUAUACUUUGUAGGGUGUGGCCCUAUGUCUCCUGACCACACCUCUUAGGACAUGGCAAUAGCUGUCCUCUACGACAUCUCCUACGUCUCUCUCUUGCAUCCAAUAGGGGCUCCCCCUCAUUAUCAGCCUCUGUUUCCUCCUCAAAUUGGCUGGGGUCCAUAGGCAUGUCAGCAACUGUCAGUUCUUGCUGACUCACCAGUGAAGAUGGCCCCUCCGGCACAUAGCUCAUAACAGCUUCCUCCUUCUCCAUAUCAUCCUCCAAAUUAGCAUGUGAAAAUAAAUCAGCCUCCAGGGCCGUGAUCACAACAGGUGAGUUCUAUUCCUACAAAAGCACAUUAAGUUCUUUUCCUGCAAAAUACACAAUACUUGUCUGAGUUUAAUCUAUUUCAAUCUCCAGGAGAACGUGAGUUCUAGUUGGACCAUUGGGAUCGAAGUAAGCUUUUUGACCUUGUGCCAAUUACCGCAAUUUGGUGAGUUUGAGAUGAACAUUUAAGACGGAAGCCAGCUGUGUGAGUUUGGUCAAAUUAACAGGAGAGAGUCAGUAGUAGAAGGUGAGUUCUAGUCCUCCAAUAGUCAAGGUAAGUUUUCGUCCUCCAACUUGAACAACCGUCAGAGGAGUGAUCUUAUGCCAAUUCUCCCACGAUACGGUGAGUUCUAGUCCUACAAAAGCAUAUUGAGUUCUUUUCCUGUAAAAUACACAACACUUGUCUGAGUUUAACCUAUUUCAAUCAUCAGGGGAACAUGAGUUCUAGUUGGACCAUUGGGAUGGAAGUCAGCUUUUUUACCUUGCCCCAAUUACUGCAAUUUGGUGAGUUUGAGAUUAACAUUUAAGAUGGAAACCAGCUGUUUGACUUUGGUCGAAUUAACAGAAGACAGUCAAUAGGAGAAGGUGAGUUCUAAUCCUCCAAUAGUCAAUUUAAGUUCUCGUCCUCCAAUUUGAACGACUGUCAGAGGAGUGAUUUUAUGCCAAUUCUCCCAGGAUAAGGUGAGUUCUAGUCCUACAAAAGCACAUUGAGUUCUUUUCCUGCAAAAUACACAAUACUUGUCUGAGUUUAUCCUAUUCAAUCACCAGGAGAACACGAGUUCUAGUUGGGCCAUUGGGAUGGAAGUCAGCUUUUUGACCAUGUGCCAAUUACUGCAAUUUGGAAAAAAAUCUAUCUUUAAGGCAGAUUGAGAGCGAUGGUGGCUGCAUAGAGAGGAAGCAAAAAGUGAUUUUCAGCAUUAGUGGUCACGGAAGAUUGGAAGAAAAAAGAAAAGUGAGAUUCUUAGCAAGCUGUCACCAGUGAGAGAGUCACAGAGGGUGAGGAGAGUGGCGAUCAGGAAGGAGAGUGCUUAAUGCGAGAUAUUCGAACUGAGGCAACAGGGUAAUAAAAGCGGCGGAAGAAGCAAUUUACAAGAAAAUACAAAUUAACAACUGAAACUGAACUGAAAGAUUCGCACCUGAGCCAAGGAUUUAUUGUGAGAGAAGGGGAAAAACAAAAAGAAAAAAGGAGUAACCUCACCAUGAGAAGGAAGAAACUGCGAAGGUAUAUAUAAACUUUGGAACUGAAAAGUUAAGGACUUUCCUUCUUUUAACUGACGAACUUGGUGAACUUCGAGGAUUGAGGAGGAGGCGAUUUGGAAAGAAAUUUAUAGAUAGGCACAUGGAUAAGGUGGAUUUAUAAACAUUGAGAAGAAAACAGAUUGCAAGAUUGGGAGGACGCAGAGACUGUGUGCUGGAAUUUAAAGUGACUAAGCUUGAUUUAGGAGAUAGAACUAAUCUGAUGCAAUAAGGACUGGAAAGAAGGGAAAAAAAGAAGAAGAAGAAUUCAAAAAAGAAUAAAGUCUGGUUGGAAUUUA